RNAcentral lists this RNase P RNA (391 nucleotides) under Acidobacteriota bacterium. Its description in RNAcentral is "Acidobacteria bacterium (activated sludge metagenome) RNase P RNA component class A". It matches the Rfam family "Bacterial RNase P class A". Rfam says of the family: Ribonuclease P (RNase P) is a ubiquitous endoribonuclease, found in archaea, bacteria and eukarya as well as chloroplasts and mitochondria. Lineage: Bacteria; Pseudomonadati; Acidobacteriota. The record is from RNAcentral.
GGAGAGCUUCAGGCGGUCGCCGGCCGGAGCUUCCGGCGGGAGGAAAGUCCGAACUCCGACGGACAGCAUGCUCGCUAACGGCGAGGCGCAGUGAUGCGACGGAAAGUGCAACAGAAAGCAAACCGCCAGGGGCUUUCGGGCCUCCGGUAAGGGUGAAAGGGUGCGGUAAGAGCGCACCGCUCCGCCGGCGACGGCGCGAGGCACGGUAAACCCCAUGCGGAGCAAGACCAAAUAGGGGAGCGGUUCUGCGGGCCGUCCGUCCCGCCCGCCUUCGGGCGGCCGCUUCCGGGUAGGUUGCUAGAGACCGGCAGCAAUGCCGGCCCUAGAGGAAUGACCGCACCCCGCUCUUCGGAGCGGAGGCACAGGAUUCGGCUUACGGAGCUCUCCGGCA